UUGCUGCUUCUUGAAUUGAUUUUUCAACAUUUAAAUCAUCAAAAUUUGAUAAAUUAAUUGUUGGGAUUGAUUCUUGAUUGUCAAUUUGAGACUUGUUUAGUCUUUGUUCUUUUGGUUGAAUGCAUUGAUUUGGGAUAAUUUCAAGGUUUGUGUCUACUAGGCCUUUUAGUCCAUUUGCUUUCUUGAUUACAAAAUCAAGUAUGUCAUCAUUUGGUUCAAAUUUUGAAGAAGACAUUUGUGUUGAAUCUUGAUGAGUGUGUACUAGUGGAAGAAGGAAAUUUGAGGUUUUUUUAAUGGUGGAUUUGAGGGGGUGUGUUGGGGGGGCGGGGGAGAAGGGGGGUUUGCUAUGGAAUGAUUUAAGAUUGAAUCAUUACUUCAUCUAGCAACGAGGGGGUUGUGAUGGAGUGCUAAAUAUUUUUUCAUUUUUAAUCAAAUAUUUUGGAUUCAAUUUUUUCUGAAUAUAGAGUGUUUUACCUCUCAGUAUGAGACUUUUCAAUGUAAAUUCAAAUUUAUUUGGAUUCAGUUUAUCAUAAAAUUUAUUUUCAUAGCUAUUUGAAAAUCGAUGAGGUGGCUUUUUGGUAUCAUAUAAAUGAAUUGUGGUUGGUUUGAAUAACAUUCACAUCCUUUUGAAAUUCGUGCUCUCUAUUAUAUCCAUAAAAAAAUAUCAGUAAAAAUAGUAAUAUUAUAAUUUAAUACUUUAUUUUGCUUUUAAUAUUAUAAUUUUAUAGCUAUAAAUUAUUAUGACAAUUCAGAAGAUUUGCUUGGGAUAUAUACCGAAUGUGUAUUAUUAUUUUUUGGAAUAAGUUUUUGAAAGUCUUAUAAAAGCAGUACCACUUAAAUCUGUUAGAAGGAAAAAUUUCAUAUGCUUGAGUACAUUUCCUUAUACAUUACUAAAUCUUCUUCAUGCUUGUGUUCUUCGUUUGCUAGAAAAUGGGUCCAUUAAUUUGCCUCUCUCCAGACGUAUUAGAUAGUGUCAAAUGUGAAAAAGUUAAAUUUCACCAAAUGCUCAAAAUUCAAGAAAUGUGAAAUUAUACACUAAUUUAUAAUGAGUAAAAGGCCAAAAACUGCAUUUUAAAAUAUAUCAACACUGUUUAUUAACGAGUUGAGCUAGUAAAUAAAUGGAUCAAUGAUCAGGUUAAACUUGGAUGGAUUUGAUGGAUCAUAUUUUCAUGACUAAGUUUUUGUUGUUAGGGUGAACUUUAGUAGAAUUUACGUAGUAUUUGAUAGUCAAAACUCGACAUUUGAUACUAGUUUUCGUAUUGAGAGACUACCUAUCACAAUCUUUGAUGAUUGGGGGGUUUCGUCACCCUAUAUUGAUACCAGUCUUAGGAGUGAAAGUAAAUUCAUUCCAAACUCGAAAUCUAUAGUUGAUGAUGGAGAUAGUUACUACCGGUCACAAUCUUAGAAAAUGAUAAGCGGCAUUUAAGUAGGUGUCCCCCCCCCCCCCCUCCUCAUUUUGUAUUCAGUAUCCUCUUCAAAACUGAAUGUAAAUUUAUUUCUAAAUUCGAGAUCUCUAAUUGAAGGCGGAUUUAGCAAGGGCCCCCCCCCCCCCCCUCCUCAUUUUGUAUUCAGUAUCCUCUUCAAAACUGAAUGUAAAUUUAUUUCUAAAUUCGAGAUCUCUAAUUGAAGGCGGAGAUAAUUACUACCCAUCACGAGUACAUGUUUUUUCUUAUUGUAUAUUCGGUAUCCACUUUUAAGAAAAUACAUUUUUUAAAUUAUAGAGUUCAAAUUUAAAAUUGUCAUAGUGUUACACACCAACAAUUCAAUGAAUGAACUUACAUUAUUCAGUGCGGACUCAAAAUUUUAUAUAAGUGAGUUCAACCAUAGGAUGAUCGUCGAUAGUGUAAGCAACAUCAAGCACAACAAAUGAUUUGCUCUUUGUGCUUUUAUUUAUUCUUUUUUUAAUAAUUUAAUAUCAAAAUAAGAUAUAUAGUUUUUUUUAGAAAAACUCGGCACUUUUUAAUUAUUUAACAAAGUUGAGGAAUUUAUUUUAAAAAAAAUCUAUUUACAUUUAAAAAAACAAAAAACAAAAAACAAAAUUAGAGUUAACUAAGAAACUAUAUAUAAUCUCAUCAAAAUAACAAAUUAUAGCAAAAAACUAAGAAAGACACUACAAAAAUUCAAUUAUAAAUGAUUAAAUGUUUUUAGAAGUAAAACAGAUUUAAGAUUUUUAUCGAGUUUGAGUAAGAAGACAAAAUAUACAACAUAAAAUUUAAAAAUAAAAUAAAAUAUAUUGGUGAUAAAUUUAUUAGUGACUAGCAUAUUGAAUAUGAUUGGUCAAUUUUUUUUAUAGGCCAAUUUGGCUACUGAAUAUGAAUACACAGUGAUAUUGAACCAAAAGCAGUAACAUGCCACACUUUGUUCAUUGUGGGUUUAAAUAUAUAAUUAUACUAAUUUAACAUUAAUUCUCCUUAUAUAAAUAAUAAAUUUUCCAACCGAGUGGGUUCAACAUGUGGGUCCACCCCUGACAUUAUUACAUUGAAAAAAAAAUAUGGGGGAAAGUUAUUAUAAACAAAAAGUAGGAUGAAGGGCAAAAUAAGAUUAUGAAAUCAUUAGAACAAAAUAAGAUAACAAUACAAUCACACAAACUCACCGGUUACAUAAAGAAAUACUUUUUGACAUUGCAUAACAAAGAAAUUUGUGAAUUAAAACAUCAAAUUUUAGCAAAAUCUAGUGAUGCUUUACCAGAGGGCCUCUUACUGAAGUAAUGAUCCCAAUAAUCAGAGAACAAAACAUGUUUGUACAUUGAUUUUUCUCCAUCUUUGAGUAUUUGUGGGAAUGGACCAAUGACACUAUCAGGGCUAGGAUUCACAAAUAGCGGUACAGAUAUUCGAGCCCUGCUAGAAUCAACUGCUACACAAUGCUCGAUACUUUUGUAUCGAUCGUUGCUCAUGAUCUGCAACGAGUUACCUAUGUUAACCGCCAAGGCACCUUUGAUAGGAUUUACGUGAAUCCAGUUAUCACCUUUAGUCCCUUGGACAUAUAGGCCUCCCGUGUCGUCCUGGAGGAGCAGAGUUAUGCAGGACAUGUCGCAGUGUCUACGAAAACCAAUGGCGAUACUUGGAUUUGGACAAGGUGGAUAGUAGUUUAUAUUGAUAGCCAUAGUUCCCAUCAAGAGAGGUUCUAAAGAUUCAUCAAUUUCAUUGACAUUGAGACCCUUCAAUAGCACCUCAAGCAAUUUUUUAGCAAGUGGUGUAGCCCACUUUUGAUACUCCAAGACUUGAUUCCUGUAAAACAGUAUCAAAGUCAGAAAUUUCACUAAGAGUGUUCAAAAUUUAAUGGUAAGAUCAAGAAUUUUGCUAAUAAUGUUCAAGAUUCAAUGUCAAAGUCAUAAAUUUUUCUAAGAAUGUUUCAAGAGUCUAUAAAAACAACCUCUUUAUGUAGUAAAGAUAGAGGUAAAGUCUACGUAUAUCCUACCCUCUCCAUACUCUACUUGUGAGAUUAUAGUGGAUAUGUAAUUGUAAAAAAGAUAUAUGUACACCGUUAUAAAAAAAGUCUUGAGAUAAUGAUAAAAAACACAUCUGAAGUAUCACGUUUUCACGAGUUUUCUUUCCUAUAUGGACUAUCAUCAAAAUUACUUUGCCAUUUGGACAAAAUUCUAUGGGCAAAUUAAGUUGUGACGCACUGUAUUCAAACACUUGAUCUAGUCAGUUUUGGAAUGUGUUUUGAUAAAUAGUUGGUGAUAGUUCAGAAACACAAACACCUUAUAGUAAAAGAUAUGAAACUCGCAAAAGUAAUACUUGGAAACUUGUGACCUAUAAAUUACAUGGAGCAGAAAACCCCAAAAAGUUACCUUGUUUGAGGAGGCCAAAGAUUGCUAUCAUUUUGUGGAUUACAACUAUGUCUUAUACCAUCCCUCCACUCUAAAACUUUUUCAUCUUUCUCACCAAUAGCACUCCAAAACAUCAACACAGAUUCACUAGCAUUAUAGCUCUCUUUGUUAUACUUAACUUUUUCUUCAGAUGGCAAUUCAAAGAAUUUGUGUCCUGCUUCCUUUAAAUCAUCAAGAACUUCAAUUGGGAUGCCAUGAUUGAUGAUUUGGAAGAAACCCCACUUGCUUGCGGCAUCUUGAAUUGAUUUUUCAACACUUAAAUCAUCAAAAUUUGAUAUAUCAAUUGUUGGGAUUGAUUCUUGAUUGUCAAUUUGAGAUUUUUCUAGUCUUUGGUCUUUUGGUUGAAUACAUUGAUUUGGGAUAUUUUCAAGGCCUGUGUCUACUAGACCUUUUAGUCCAUUUGCUUUCUUGAUUACAAAAUUAAGUAUGUCAUCAUUUGGUUCAAAUUUUGAUGAAGGCAUUUGUGUUGAAUCUUGAUGAGUGUGUACUAAUGAAAGAAAGAAAUUUGGGGUUUUUUUUAGCUGUGGGUUUGAGAGGGGUGUGUAUGGGGGGAGAGGAAAGAAGGGGAGUGGACUAUGAAAUGAUGAAAGAUUGAAUCAUUACUUUAACAUCGAUGGGUUAUUAUAAAGUGGUAAAUACUUUUUCGUCUUUAAUCAGAUGUUUUAGAUUCAAAUUUCCUGAAUACAAAAUUGACUUAUUUAAAAAACAUCCUCUUAAUAUGAGACUUUUUGGUGCGAAUUCAAAUUUCAUUGGACUCAAUAUGAAUAUCAAACCUCCGAUGAUAAAAAAAUAAAUAUUAUUCCUUCUUCUAUUAUUUCAAGGGAGGGUGGGGCAAAAGGGGGCUGGCUAUGAAAUGAUGGAAGAUUGAAUCAUACUUUCAUCUAGCAACGAGAGAUUAUAGUGAAGUGGUAAAUAUUUUUCAUUUUUAAUCAAAUGUCUUGUAUUCGAAUUUUUCCAAAUACAAUAUUGUUCUUAUUAGAGAUUGUUUUACUUUUCAAUAUAAGACUUUUCGGUGCAAAUUCAAUUUUAGUUAGACUCAAUAUGAAUAUCAAAUAUCGAAUGAUUAAUCUAUUAUUUGAAGGUAGUAGGGAUGGGAUAUGUGGAUGAUAUAUUAAUGACCUAAACAAAAUUCUUGAAUUGGUUUUUUAUUUAGUAUUUUGAAUUUUUAUUUUUUAUUUAAUCAAACAUCAUUAUCAUAAAAUAGCUAUUUGGAAAUUGGUGAGGUGGCUUCUUGAUGUCCAUGGGUGAAUUGUGGUUCGUAGAUAACAUCCAAAACUUUUUUUGUCGGUUGUUAUGAAUGAUGAAUUUUGUAUAUUAUAUCCAUAAAAAUUAUCAGUAAAAAUAGAUAUAAUUUAAUUUUCUUAUUUACUUUUCAUAGUAUAACUUUUAUAGCUAUAAAUUUGAUGGAGACAUAUAUUAAAUGUGAAUUAUAUUUUUUACUAAGUAGGAAAAAGCUUUAAACAGUCUUUUAAAAGCACUACCACUUAAAAAAUUCAAAUGUUUAGUGUCCUUCAUUUGCUAGAAAAUGCACCUAUUUGCCUCUCUCUAAAUAAAUGUGUUUGAUAAUGUCAAAAGUUAAAAUGUACAAAAAAAAAUCAACUAUGCCAAAUGCUCAAAAUUCAAGAAAUAUGGAAUUAUACACUAAUUUAUACAAGUUAAAUUGUAAAGAACAAAAUAAUAAGGGGAAUUACAUUCUGCAACAUAUCAGCCUAGUCUUUUAAUGAGUUGAAAUGAGUAAAUAGACGAACCAAUGACUAGGCCAAACUUGGACGGAUUUGACGAAUCGUAUUACUAGAACCAAUGACUAGGCCAAACUUGGACGGAUUUGACGAAUCAUAUUUUCAUGAAUGUAACAUACAAGUUAGGACACAAAUGCAGGCCAUACACAAGUAAUUGAUCACCGAGGACUAUGAAUUUGUAACAUCAUCCGACUAUCCAAGCUCUGUUGUCCUGAGAAUUCUCCGUUAGACAUGAAGUUCGUGUUCAUAUUGAUCGCGUAAAGGUCCAAUGUUUGUUCUGUAAUUAAUCCAAGACUCUCCUCAUCUUGACAUUGUUGAGUUUUAGACCAUGGAUGUUUUGUGAACUUCCUUAGUCCUUCUAGCUCCAUGGCUACUUCUUUCAUCGUAGGCCUUUCUUCACUCGUUAACCUUAAACAUCUCUUCGCGAGCUCAGCAACACCUUGACAUUGCUCAAAACUUCCUUCUCGUAGCACACGUGAUUCAAGUACUUGAAACAAUCGAUUUUCCUUAAUAGACCUAACGAAAAAUGCAGCUAGAUUUCUCUCUUGUUCGGAUGCUGUAGUAUCUAGUGGCAUUCGCGCUGUUAAGAGCUCUGCAAGAACCACGCCAAAACUAUAAACGUCACUCUUUUCUGUCAAUUGACUUGUGUGGAAGUAUUCAGGAUCUAAGUAACCUAAAGUUCCUUGAACCAAUGUAGUCACUUGAGUUUGAUCCAAUGACACUAAUCUAGAAGCCCCGAAAUCUGAUAUUUUUGCAGUGUAACUCUCAUCGAGUAGAAUGUUUGUAGACUUCACAUCUCAAUGAAUUACAGGUGUAGAAGCUGCAGAAUGUAGAUAUGCGAGUGCACCAGCAGCUUCAGAUGCUAUUCUUAAUCGAUUUUCCCAUGAAAACCAACGCAUUUGAUCUCCACCAUCAUGAAUAUGGUAAUAGAGUGUACCUUUGGAAAUGUAUUCAUAGACUAGUAGAGGUACUUCAGACUCCAAACAACACCCCAAGAGUUUCACCACGUUUCGAUGAUUGACUUCUGAAAGAAUGAUCACUUCAUUGAUGAACAAUUCUAUUUGGAUGACGUCCAUUGUUCUAGACUUUUUAAUUGCAACUACACGUUUGUCCGGAAGGACACCUUUGUAAACUGUACCAUAACCACCUCGGCCUAGGAUACGAUCCUCAGCAUAGUUGUUGGUUGAUUUCUCGAGUUCUGCUGCUGUAAAGAUCUUAGCUGCAUACUGUAUACCACCCUCAUUUGAUCGGAGUUUCUGCGUGAGCAUCAAUCCACCAUUUUUCUGAAAAAACGUUUCCCUGAGUCUUAUGAGUCGUCAUCUUUUGAUGCCUAAGUAUAUCCAAGUUACACUGAUGACCAAAGCCAGAAAACCAAAGCACAAACCUGCAAUGAAAGUGCAACUUUAGUUUACUCUUAACCGUUUUCACUUUAUAUGAAGGUGUUUGACUGGACACACAGAGUAGAGUAGACGUACUGAUUGAGAGUUGAAGGAUGGGUGAUUUAGAGUUCUUAGGGAUGCAACCGUGGCCGUCCUUUUUUCCAUCACCAAUCUGACCAUGUGGACAAGUGCAGCUGUAGCCUCCAGGAAAGUUAUUGCAUAUUCCAUCACAAGGAUUCUCGUUCUCGCAUUCAUUUAUAUCUGUCAAUUAAUCAAACAUCAGAACGUAAAGAGGUUGUUUCUGAUAGACCCUCGGCUCAAAUGCAACACUAACCAACACAUAUAACAUCAUUCGAACAAAGUAACUUUGGCUCAAACCUUACUAAACAAGCACAAAUCGUAGAUUCCUAACCAAGUUACGACAAUUUCAAACUCGAACACAAAAAGUUCAAAUCAUGAAUUCAGUCUUACCUAUGCAACCUGGACUGAUAUAAGGGUUCCCCUGGUAUCCCGGUUUGCAGUUGCAACGAUAACCUCCGAGGCCUGUCUUAGAAUCUACACAAACACUAUUUUCUCCACAAGCAUAAUCUGCUGAUUUCUUAGCCACAGUGCAACUACCAUUGCCAAUAACCCAAUCAAUCACCACAGGGACUUCCUCUAUAACCUUGUUCCUGAAACUCGAAUUUGAUAAAUCCGAGCUCUUGAAAAUGAACUUAUCAGGCUCACCAAGAAACAAGUAGCCACAAGGGUUAAAAGAAGACACAUUUGUAUGGUUAUUCAAACUCCUUGUUAGACUCACAAAACUCUUCAAACCUGUUGGGAUUGAAGUCUGGCAACAUCCAAUUCCUGAGCAAUAUCCUUCAAUUAUAUCCUCUUUUUUCGCGCAUAGUGAAAUGCAUCCACUAGUAAAGUUCCUCCCUUCAUAGCCGAGAAUGAGAGCUAAGUCAUCGCAGCCAACUACCAUCAAACUAUUGAGAUCAGAGAAGGAGAAAGACGUCAAUCCCAAGCUAAAGUUUAUCGAGUCAUCAUUGAUCAAGACCCCUGCUUGAUCAUAACACCUACUCCCAACAUUGUUCUUAAAAUAAGAAAGGGCAAGAUAAAGAAAAAAUAAAUAAAUAACGGACAGGAUCACACCAAAUUGCAAGUUACAUAAAAUAACAGUUAUCGUCAUUACAAUAACAGAUUUAUAAUACAAAAACAUUAACAUACAAGAAAUUUGAAAAUUAAAGCAUCAAUUUUUUGCAAAAUCUAGUGAUGCUUUACCAGAAGGCCUCUUAAUAAAGCAAUGAUCCCAAUAAUUAGAGAACAAAAUAUGUUUGUACACUGGUUUUUCUCCAUCUUUUAGCAUUUGUGGGAAUGAACCAAUGACACUAUCAAAACUAGGAUUCACGCAUAGCGGUACAGAUAUUCGAGUCCUGCUCGAAUCAACUGCUACACAAUGCUCGAUACUCUUGUAUCGAUCAUUGCUCAUGAUCUGCAAUGAGUCACCUAUAUUAACCGCUAAGGCACCUUUGAUAGGAUUUACGUGAAUCCAGUUGCCUUUAGUCCCUCGGACAUAUAGGCCUCCUGUGUCGUCCUGGAGGAGCAAAGUUAUGCAGCCCAUGUCGCAGUGUCUACGAAAACCCAUGGCGAUACUUGGAUUUGGGCAUGGUGGAUAGUAGUUGAUGUUUAUAGACAUAGUUCCCAUCAAGAGAAGUUCUAAAGAUUCGUCAAUUUCAUUGACAUUGAGACCCUUCAAUAGCACCUCAAGCAAUUUUUUAGCAAGUGGUUUAACCCACUUUUGAUACUCCAAAACUUGGUUCCUAUAAAUCAAUAACAAACUCAGGAAUUUUAUUAAGAGCAUUAGUGUUUAAUGGGAAGGUCAAAUUUUUCUCUAAUAACGUUCAAGAUUCAAUGUCAAAGUUAAGAAUUUCACUAAGAAUAUUUCGUAAGUCUAUAAAAUCACAACCUCCUUAUGCUGCUAAGACAGAGGUAAAAUAUGCGUAUAUUCUACCCUCUCCAUACUCUACUUGUGAGAUUAUACUAGAUAUGUAAUCGUAUAAAAGAUAACUUUUCUCCUACAUAUACGAUAUACUUUUGAUUUAAGUUAUAAAAACCAUUAUAAAAUCUUGAUAUAAUUUUGUAUUCAACCACUUAAUCUAGUUAGUUUUUAAAUAUCUUUUGAUAAAUAGUUGGUGAUAGUUCAGAAACGUCAAGCACCUCCCAAAAAGUAAUACUACUUGAAAACCCGUGACCUAUUGAUUACACAGAGUAGAAAACCCCAAAAAGUUACCUUGUUUGAGGAGGCCAAAGAUUGCUAUCAUUUUUGUGGAUUACAACCAUGUUUUAUACUAUCCCUCCACUCCAAAACUUUCUCAUCUUUCUCACCAAUAGCACUCCAAAACAUAAACACAGAUUCACCAGGACUAACUUUUUCUUUAUGAUACUUAACUUUUUCUUCAGCUGGCAAUUCAAAGAAUUUGUGUGCCGCAUCCUUCAAAUCUUCAAGAACUUCAAUUGGGAUGCCAUGAUUGAUGAUUUGGAAGAAACCCCACUUGCUUGCUGCUUCUUGAAUUGACUUUUCAACAUUUAAAUCAUCAAAAUUUGAUAAAUCAAUUGUUGGGAUUGAUUCUUGAUUAUCAAUUUGGGACUUGUCUAGUCUUUGUUCUUUUGGUUGAAUGCAUUGAUUUGGGAUAAUUUCAAGGUUUGUGUCUACUAGGCCUUUUAGUCCAUUUGCUUUCUUGAUUACAAAAUCAAGUAUGUCAUCAUUUGGUUCAAAUUUUGAAGAAGACAUUUGUAUUGAAUCUUGAUGAGUGUGUACUACUGGGAG
RNAcentral lists this long non-coding RNA (9759 nucleotides) under Solanum tuberosum (potato). Its description in RNAcentral is "long non-coding RNA (STUB_LNC011028)". The record is from RNAcentral. Lineage: Eukaryota; Viridiplantae; Streptophyta; Magnoliopsida; Solanales; Solanaceae.